Molecule: ribosomal RNA, 484 nt
Filed under: uncultured bacterium
Lineage: Bacteria
Description: partial 16S ribosomal RNA
Rfam family: Bacterial small subunit ribosomal RNA
Source: RNAcentral
AUUGAACGCUGGCGGCAGGCCUAACACAUGCAAGUCGAGCGGAUGAAGGGAGCUUGCUCCUGGAUUCAGCGGCGGACGGGUGAGUAAUGCCUAGGAAUCUGCCUGGUAGUGGGGGAUAACGUCCGGAAACGGGCGCUAAUACCGCAUACGUCCUGAGGGAGAAAGUGGGGGAUCUUCGGACCUCACGCUAUCAGAUGAGCCUAGGUCGGAUUAGCUAGUUGGUGGGGUAAAGGCCUACCAAGGCGACGAUCCGUAACUGGUCUGAGAGGAUGAUCAGUCACACUGGAACUGAGACACGGUCCAGACUCCUACGGGAGGCAGCAGUGGGGAAUAUUGGACAAUGGGCGAAAGCCUGAUCCAGCCAUGCCGCGUGUGUGAAGAAGGUCUUCGGAUUGUAAAGCACUUUAAGUUGGGAGGAAGGGCAGUAGGUUAAUACCUCGCUGUUUUGACGUUACCAACAGAAUAAGCACCGGCUAACUUCGUG